Molecule: non-coding RNA, 104 nt
Filed under: human gut metagenome
Description: SAM riboswitch (S box leader)
Rfam family: SAM riboswitch aptamer (S box leader)
About the family: The SAM riboswitch is found upstream of a number of genes which code for proteins involved in methionine or cysteine biosynthesis in Gram-positive bacteria. The SAM riboswitch acts at the level of transcription termination control.
Source: RNAcentral
GUUAUCAAGAGUGGACGAGAGAAUCGGCUUUAUGACUCCACAGCAACCUAUCUAAACAUAAGAAAAGGUGCUAAUACCGACAAGGCAUAUGCUUUGGAUGAUAA